This 253-nucleotide ribosomal RNA is filed under the name uncultured bacterium. RNAcentral's name for it is "partial 16S ribosomal RNA". It matches the Rfam family "Archaeal small subunit ribosomal RNA", at positions 474 to 727 of the family's 1478-position model. The record is from RNAcentral.
UACCAGCACCCCGAGUGGUCAGGACGAUUAUUGGGCCUAAAGCAUCCGUAGCCGGUUCUACAAGUCUUCCGUUAAAUCCACCUGCUUAACAGAUGGGCUGCGGAGGAUACUAUAGAGCUAGGAGGCGGGAGAGGCAAGCGGUACUUAGUGGGUAGGGGUAAAAUCCGUUGAUCCAUUGAAGACCACCAGUGGCGAAGGCGGCUUGCCAGAACGCACUCGACGGUGAGGGAUGAAAGCUGGGGGAGCAAACCGG